CUACGGGGGGCUCCAGUAGGGAAUAUUGGGCAAUGGGCGAGAGCCUGACCCAGCCAUGCCGCGUGCAGGAUGAAGGCCUUCUGGGUUGUAAACUGCUUUUAUAAGGGAAGAAAACGUUCCUGCGGGAAUAACUGACGGUACCUUAUGAAUAAGCACCGGCUAACUCCGUGCCAGCAGCCGCGGUAAUACGGAGGGUGCAAGCGUUGUCCGGUUUUAUUGGGUUUAAAGGGUGCAUAGGCGGAUUGUUAAGUCAGUGGUGAAAGUCUGCGGCUCAACCGUAGAAGUGCCAUUGAUACUGGCAGUCUUGAGUACAGUAGAGGUAGGCGGAAUUUAUGGUGUAGCGGUGAAAUGCAUAGAUACCAUAAAGAACACCUAUAGCGAAGGCAGCUUACUAUGCUGUAACUGACGCUGAGGCACGAAAGCGUGGGGAGCGAACAGGAUUAGAUACCCGGGUAGUC
RNAcentral lists this ribosomal RNA (458 nucleotides) under uncultured bacterium. Its description in RNAcentral is "partial 16S ribosomal RNA". It matches the Rfam family "Bacterial small subunit ribosomal RNA", at positions 339 to 795 of the family's 1533-position model. The record is from RNAcentral.